UACGGGGGGAGCAAGCGUUGUUCGGAUUUACUGGGCGUAAAGGGCGCGUAGGCGGUCAGCACAAGUCAGUUGUGAAAUCUCCGGGCUUAACUCGGAAAGGUCAACUGAUACUGUGCGACUAGAGUGCGGAAGGGGCAACUGGAAUUCUCGGUGUAGCGGUGAAAUGCGUAGAGAUCGGGAGGAACAUCCGUGGCGAAGGCGGCCAUCUGGACCAACACUGACGUUGAGGCACGAAAGCGUGGGGAGCAAACAGG
This 254-nucleotide ribosomal RNA is filed under the name uncultured bacterium. RNAcentral's name for it is "partial 16S ribosomal RNA". It matches the Rfam family "Bacterial small subunit ribosomal RNA", at positions 524 to 776 of the family's 1533-position model. The record is from RNAcentral.